Limulus polyphemus (Atlantic horseshoe crab) is the source of this 462-nucleotide long non-coding RNA. RefSeq lists it as uncharacterized. The transcript is spliced from 3 exons. Lineage: Eukaryota; Metazoa; Arthropoda; Merostomata; Xiphosura; Limulidae. The record is from RefSeq and is a predicted model, not a curated record.
UAGAAGAUAUCUCGAGAAGCCCAAAUAGUGUCGCGCAUUUUCUGUUCUUGUUUUUUAGCAAUCAGAUAUUUUCCAGAGCAUCUAGAAGAUUUCAUUGUAGGUGUAUAAUUAGCACGUUCCUGACAAUCUGGAUAAGAAUUUUAUAAGUAAUAAGACUUUGACGGCGGUUUUAUUUGUAUGGGAACUCAACUUGAUCUACACCAGGUUAUUUUGUUUAAGUGAGCGCAGAAUGGUGUCUAGCUAUUUGAUGACGAGGAACCCACGUUGAGACAAUAAAGUUUGAAGACGACUUGAAUGGGUAAUAAAGAAAAUUUUAUUACAUGUUUAACCUAGUUAGAAAUGUACAACGUAUUGACAAGGUUUUGUCCCACUAUAGCAACAUCUUCGCAUCUUUGUGGUGUAAUUGAGGGAUAGGUUCUUGAAGAGAUGAUUUUAAAUUGUGUGGUAGAGGGUAAUCUGAAC